CCUACGGGGUGCACCAGUGGGGAAUAUUGGACAAUGGGCGAAAGCCUGAUCCAGCAAUGCCGCGUGUGUGAAGAAGGUCUUCGGAUUGUAAAGCUCUUUCACCGGUGAAGAUAAUGACGGUAACCGGAGAAGAAGCCCCGGCUAACUUCGUGCCAGCAGCCGCGGUAAUACGAAGGGGGCUAGCGUUGUUCGGAAUUACUGGGCGUAAAGCGCGCGUAGGCGGAUAGAUAAGUCAGAGGUGAAAUCCCGGGGCUCAACCCCGGAAUUGCCUUUGAUACUGUUUAUCUUGAGUGCAGAAGAGGUAAGUGGAAUUCCGAGUGUAGAGGUGAAAUUCGUAGAUAUUCGGAGGAACACCAGUGGCGAAGGCGGCUUACUGGUCUGCAACUGACGCUGAGGCGCGAAAGCGUGGGGAGCAAACAGGAUUAGAUACCCCCGUAGUC
RNAcentral lists this ribosomal RNA (440 nucleotides) under uncultured bacterium. Its description in RNAcentral is "bacterial SSU rRNA". It matches the Rfam family "Bacterial small subunit ribosomal RNA", at positions 338 to 795 of the family's 1533-position model. The record is from RNAcentral.